GAGCACAACGUCAAAAGCAGCCAAUGGGAGCCCAGGAGGCGGGGCGCCUGUGGGAGUCGUGGAGGGAACUUUCCCAGGCCCCGAGGCGGAUCGGGUAUUGAGUCCAUGGAGCGAGCUGAGAGCUAGAGUACAGAACCUGCUAAGGCCAUCAAACCUAUCGAUCGGAAGUCAGUCCAUCAGAUUUGCUCUGGGCCGGUGGUACUGAGUCUAAGCACUGCGGUGAAGGAGUUAGUAGAAAACAGUCUGGAUGCUGGUGCCACCAAUAUUGAUCUAAAGCUUAAGGACUAUGGAGUGGAUCUCAUUGAAGUUUCAGACAAUGGAUGUGGGGUAGAAGAAGAAAACUUUGAAGGCUUAACGAUGUCACCAUUUCUACCUGCCACGCAUCGGCGAAGGUUGGGACUCGACUGGUGUUUGAUCACGAUGGGAAAAUCAUCCAGAAAACCCCCUACCCCCACCCCAGAGGGACCACAGUCAGCGUGAAGCAGUUAUUUUCUACACUACCUGUGCACCAUAAGGAAUUUCAAAGGAAUAUUAAGAAGACGUGCCUGUUUCCCCUUCGCCUUCUGCCGUGAUUGUCAGUUUCCUGAGGCCUCCCCAGCCAUGCUUCCUGUACAGCCUGCAGAACUGUGAUCUCAGCCCUCCUCCAGGCUUCGAUUAUAACUUACAGGAUUGUGAUUCACACAUUUCAGUUUCCACCACAGGCCCCUCCAGACAUGUCCAUCUGCCUGCUGUGUUGACUUUUCCCUUUGGAGUCUUGAGGCAGCUACAAGCUUACUGACCAGAAAUGAACUCAAGCUCUCCCCGAAGCCUGGUCCUCUUCCAGGAUCAGCCAGCCUGGAAGAUGGCACUGUCAUCCACCCUGUUCUCAGGCCUGCCACCCAGGAGUCAACCUUAGCCCCAUCUAAUUGUCAGAGGCAUCUGAACCACAGCAACUCCAUCUUGAGUAGGGGAUGGGUAAAAUGAGGCUGAGACCUGCUGGGCUGCAUUCCCAGACAGCCAAGGCAUUAGCCACAGGAUAAGAUAGGCGGUCGGUACAAGACACAGGUCAUAAAGACCUUGCUGAUAAAACAGUUGGCAGUAAAGAAGCCAGCCAAAACCCACUAAAACCAAGAUGGCAACGAGAGUGACCUCUGGUCGUCCUCACUGCUACCCUCCCACCAGCACCAUGACAGUUUACAAAUGCCAUGGCAAUGUCAGAAAGUUACCCUAUAGGGUCUAAAAAGGGGAGGCAUGAAUAAUCUACCCCUUGUUUAGCAUAUCAUCAAGAAAUAACCAUAAAAAUAGGCAACCAGCAGCCCUCAGGGAUGCUCUGUCUAUGGAGUAGCCAUUCUUUUGUUCCUUUACUCUCUUAAUAAACUUGUUUUCACUUUACUCUA
Long non-coding RNA from Homo sapiens (human), 1376 nucleotides. Ensembl annotates it as PMS1 homolog 2, mismatch repair system component pseudogene 4. Its record names the gene PMS2P4. The record is from Ensembl. Lineage: Eukaryota; Metazoa; Chordata; Mammalia; Primates; Hominidae.